GGGACCGCUGGGAAAGUGAGUCCUCCGCCGGGGACGGACGCGGUCGCCAUGGCGGCGGCGGCGGCUGCGGCGCCUGUUUCCGCGGGCUUCUUGGGUCCUUGCGUGGGCCUUGCCACCGCUCACUACUUUCCCAUGCCAUUCAGGCUCCCGCAAUUUCACCUUGCGGUCUCACGACUAUUUUUAUUGCCGAGGGGAGUUGCUCCUCAGUCCGGCCUUGAAAGGGCCUCAGCGACGGCGUGGGGGCUCCACAGGAAGGCGUGGUCUUGGGGAGGACGCUGUCCAGGCUCCUUUCCAAGAAGCGCAGAUGUCCAUCGUCUUUCCUGUCACUGGCAACGGAGGCCUUGCGCUCCCAGCUCGUCCAAGACCUCAGUGCGAGAGGAACAAUUACGAUUGCCCUAAAGGGCAUCUUCCUGCUUACCCUGCAUUCCACGGCUCUCCUCCCGGCGCUUUUAGGAACGCGGAGGGGGCUUCUCCACGAAUAAGGGAUUGGUGUUACCCGCACGUUCUACGUUUAUCCAGAUAUUUGCCCAUGAAUGUACAUUGCAGCGUGGUUUUUAAUAGGAAACGAUCUAAAUGUCCCUCAGAAUGGGAUAGUAAUAGAAAACAAUAUAGCCUUUAUGAAUUACUAAAGAGUUAUUAAAAGAAGUAGAUCUGUAAUGGUAAGAAACACCAACAGCAGGCAGUUGCAAAAUAAUGCAUAUUUAUGGUUGCAUUUGUAUUUUAAGUUAUAUAAACAUGCAUAUGUUUUUGCAAAUUCAUGGGGAGAGAAAUCACACUAAAGAGGACAGCAACUCCGAAAAAGUAUGUGUUGGGAUCUCACUCACUGUGUUGCCAAAGCUCAUCUUGAACUAGUGGACUCAACUGAUGUCCCAUCUCAGCCCCCUCAGUAGCUGAGAUUACAGGCAUGCAUCACCAUGCCUAGCUUCUGGCAAACCUUUUUUCACAUUACUCUCUGAGUGAUCUUGAAAUCUGCUUUGCCGUGUUCUUCACAUUUACUUUAAUCACACAUAAUUAAUCUCCCAAUAGUUCAUUAUGAUAAACUGAAGUUACAAGUAAGAGCAAUUUGAAUCUGCAAAUACACUAAUUUAUUAAUAAGUUAGCGUUGAAAGGGAGUAUCAAGUAAUGAUUGUGGAAAGAAGGCACUGCCCUGCUCUGAGUUGCUCCAUUUGUGUGGAACAGCAGUGCCCUGACUUAUUCCAUUUUAUAAAGCAGUUUGACCCGAGCUACUCCAUUUUGAAUUAAAGUGCUAAAGCAGAAUGACUCGAAAACUUGUCUGAGCAAACAGAUAACCUCCAGAUGGUAGACAUACAGAAUUCAUCAAGAAGAAUAACCUCCAGCAAUACAGCAUGAUCAUAAGGCACAAACUGAAAAUUGAAUAAUGAAUAAUGACCACUUGUGAACUUACCAAAUUAAAUCAGAAACUCAUGGAUGCAUGGACAUCAAACCCAUAUCAGAGAAACAAGGCGCCUGAGUUUAUCAAUCUCACCAGAAGUAAUCCUCUCACCUGAAAUACAUAAAAGGAGGACCACCAAAACGGUAAUGGGUGGUGUUGCAACCCAUCCAGUGAACUGCUCAGGAGGUCCACAGGUAACAAACUCCCAACUCUGUUCCUAGGACUUCAGCUCAGCAGGUCCUCACCCUCCCCCACUUCUCAACUGCCUGCCCUCUGGACCUUGGCUUAGAAUAAGUUCAGCACCCUGAUAGCCUUGACCCCUGAGCAAGUUCUUCAGCUGGUUCCUGAUCUGACCACUUGCAGUAAGUCUUCUGUAGUUAUAUUGCUCCCUGCCAUUGGGCCUCUUGAAACCCUGUGUCCACCCUUAACCUUCCUUAGCCUUCUGUAACCUAUAUAGCAUUGCGUUAAGUAUGAUGUGUGAUUUGAGUGUUAUAAACAUUAGUAAUUAAGACUGAAAUGGAAUGGAAGAAAUCAUGAUUGCCAGGGUCAUAACACCAAGUGAACCAUGAGUAAUUUCAGGAAUUUGAAGCUGAUGAAAUUGAUGUAGCUUGUAAAUUUAUUAUUACUCAAUAAAUCCUGACAAUGUGGAAAGACA
This is a long non-coding RNA of Ictidomys tridecemlineatus (thirteen-lined ground squirrel), 2048 nucleotides long. RefSeq lists it as uncharacterized. The record is from RefSeq and is a predicted model, not a curated record. NCBI's taxonomy places the organism in Eukaryota, Metazoa, Chordata, Mammalia, Rodentia, Sciuridae.